Molecule: long non-coding RNA, 1231 nt
Organism: Gasterosteus aculeatus aculeatus (three-spined stickleback)
Lineage: Eukaryota; Metazoa; Chordata; Actinopteri; Perciformes; Gasterosteidae
Source: Ensembl
CAUCGACUGGUAAAGUGAUAAUCCAGCAUCGACUGGUAAAGUGAUAAUCCAGCAUCGACUGGUAAAGUUAUAAUCCAGCGGCGACUGGUGGAGGUUAUAGUAAAGGAGAAAUCCAGCAUCGACUGGGCCAGAGAGGAGGAAGCAGGUAGCUGUGAACAUGGCCGUAAAACACCAAGUGAAUACCAGGAGGCCGCAGAGGAGCUGUAUAUUACUUCAGGACUCCUGUCUAUCAAAAUACACGUGCAGAGGACCCAUCCAAACAACGACAAAGAAGGAGAGGUUGCUGAUGGAGGACGUCAUCACAAUAGACAUUGUAUCCUGGUGAAGAAGGCUCCAGACCGCUAUGCAGACUACAUUCUCCCGGUAAGAAAUGAGCCACCUGCAGCCUCCCCUGUCCCACAGUGCCCACUACUGAGAAAAGCCAACGGUCAGAGCGAGUUUGUGCCCUGGAGUCAUCGGGACAUGGAAGCGCUGGAGAAGGGACUGCCGCCAUUGGGAGAAGGAGCUAACCCAUGGAUCCUGCUCUUUGAAAAAUACACAAUAGGUGAUAAGUUGGCACUUGGAGAUAUGAGGGCCUUAAUAGCCCGUCUAGAGGGAACAGUCAACCUAAGAGCCUUAGAAGCAAGAGCGGGAACCACCAACCAAGAGGAUGAGGCUCCAUUUGAUAAGGUCAGAGGAGUAUUUUGGGCCACAAUGCGAAACAUCUGGCCUACAAAGCCAAGUAUGUCCAUCCUGAUGGGUCUGAGUAUGAAACAAGGUGAAGACAUCUCUCAAUAUGUGAGGAGAGCAGAAACAGAAUGGCAUUUGGCCACAGGAGAAAGACACGACAAUAACAAAUCUACUGCAGUAAUCUGGCGACACACUGUGCAGCAAGGCUUGCCCCAGGCUGUUCAAACAGCGUUGGAGGGAGUAGUGGGACUGGACGACAUGGAUGAAAGCACAUGGAGAGACCAUCUAACCCACUUAUACAAAAUACAGAGAGCUGCGGAGACAAGGAGGCAAGAAGAACUGGGGACGAUGACGCAUCGACUCCUGAAGAUCCAACUGGCAGCAGCAGAUGCAGAAGCAACGAAAAAACAGAGAGUCAGGAAACAACUGUCGGUGAGAGAUGAACAACCUCAAUACCCUGUUCCUCCAGAAGCCACAUAUCCAACCGUAGGUCCAGCAGUGAGAAACCAAUUGAGAGGAUACCAGCAACCACCAAAGUACAGAGGGAGAGACAGAGGCCGUG